Molecule: non-coding RNA, 180 nt
Filed under: Pasteurellaceae bacterium 15-036681
Lineage: Bacteria; Pseudomonadati; Pseudomonadota; Gammaproteobacteria; Pasteurellales; Pasteurellaceae
Description: 6S / SsrS RNA
Rfam family: 6S / SsrS RNA
About the family: E. coli 6S RNA was the first non coding RNA to be sequenced, but its function was unknown until recently. It consists of 184 nucleotides that fold into an extended hairpin structure with a large single-stranded internal bulge.
Source: Rfam by way of RNAcentral
CUUUGCCUGAGGUGUACGCUGUUAGUUACGUCCCUGAGCCGAUAUUUAAAACUCCUUGAGUUGAAUUUCCAAUUGUUGGUGAGCAGGCUCGUUUACGAGAAGCCUAAAAAUAAUUUUAUUCGACUCCCUUGAACCGUAUGGUUCAAGGACUACAACUGAUGACGGCACUUCAGGUCUUUU